ACAGUACAAACUGAUCAGGCCGGAGCUUUUUACCUGGAGCCGGGUUACUUAUGUAACAGUGGAUUUUUAACCACGGGACAGU
This 82-nucleotide non-coding RNA is filed under the name pig gut metagenome. RNAcentral's name for it is "NiCo riboswitch". It matches the Rfam family "NiCo (Nickel/Cobalt) riboswitch aptamer". The record is from RNAcentral.